Molecule: ribosomal RNA, 493 nt
Filed under: uncultured bacterium
Lineage: Bacteria
Description: partial 16S ribosomal RNA
Rfam family: Bacterial small subunit ribosomal RNA
Source: RNAcentral
GACGAACGCUGGCGGCGUGCUUAACACAUGCAAGUCGAACGGAAAGGCCUGCUUUCCCUUGUGGAUUGCGGGUACUCGAGUGGCGAACGGGUGAGUAACACGUGAGUGAUCUGCCCCCAACUUGGGUAUAAGCCUGGGAAACUGGGUCUAAUUCCCGAUAGGACUGCAGGGUGGUGCCUGUGGUGGAAAACGAUUUUCUAGUGGUUGGGGAUGAGCUCGCGGCCUAUCAGCUUGUUGGUGGGGUAAUGGCCUACCAAGGCGGCGACGGGUAACCGGCCUGGGAGGGGGGCCGGCCAAAUUGGGAGUGGGAUACGGCCCGGACUCCUCCGGGGGGCAGCAGUGGGGAAUAUUGGCCAAGGGGGGGAAGCCUUAGGCAGGGGCGCCGGGGGGGGGAUGGCGGCCUUGGGGUUGUAAACUCCUUUCGGCCGGGGGGAAGCCGCCUGGUUGGAGGGGUGGUGAGGGUAGGGGUAAAAGAAGCACCGGCUAACUACGU